UGUAGUCUCAAAAAUUUUAAAUAUAAAUCACUUUUUUCUCUAUUUUAUGAGUUGGAAAAUAUUUGUUUAUUGUAUUUAAUUAUCAUUAAAAAUAUAUUUAUCAUAACUAAAGCAUGUUCAAAUUGGUGACAUAUUGAAAAAAUAACAUCUGUUGAAUCAUUAAAAUAUUACCACAAGUAUUUGUAUUGAUCAUAUAUUGUUAAAUAAAGAUCUUGACCUGCAAAAGAUGUAUCUGUAGGGAUCGUUGGGUUUCUGAUUUCAGUUGCAAGAAUUUCUAGUUUGCUAUAUUGUUAGCAUGGCAAUACCAGAAGUUUUAUGUAAAGUACUUGAUUUUGUGAAGCAACAAGAAGACCAAAGACAAACGUGUUUUAGAAGAAAAUUAACCAUUUUUUGCGUACAAAAAUCAAAAGUAUGGGGCUGGCCCGUGGCACAGCAGUUAAGCUCGCACAUUCCACUUUGGCGGCCUGGGGUUCACCGAUUCAGAUCCCAGGUGUGGACAUGGCACCACUUGGCAAGCCAUGCUGUGGUAGGCCUCCCACAUAUAAAGUAGAGGAAGAUGAGCAUGGAUGUUAGCUCAGGGCCAGUCUUCCUCAGAAAAAGAGGAGGAUUAGCAGUAGAUGUUAGCUCAGGGCUGAUCUUCCUUAAAAAAACACAAAAAACCUCUGUCUAAAUAUUUUCUUUAAAAUGAACUAAAUGUGAGAGGGUUGUGUGUGUGUGUGUAUGUGUGUGUAAUAAAAGGAAUGGAAUCAAGCCAUUUUAGAAGCCUAUCAUCACGCUUAGUGCUUUACAAAUACUUUCAUCUCUCAAUCUUUACGAUGACUCAGAGUACUUACUACUCCAGUAAGAGGAAUCACAUGGAGAGGAGACAGCGAGAGACUAAGUGUCCCGAAGAGGGACUGCAAAGCUCUGAUUCAAAUGCAGAGUGGACUCUGCAGCCUGUGUUGGUUCCUCUACUGCAUGCCCUAGACACGGAAUUGUCUCAUGAAUAUGACUUAGCCCCUAAGUUCUUCAUGUAAGAAUUUUGUGACCUUUGAUGUUAAUGAUGUAUCGUGGUUUUAAUUUUCAGAUUUGUGAAAUGUAAUUUUGGUUCAGGUUUACUUUACAAAAUGCAACCCAAGACAUUACAAGCAAUGUAAUAUGAAGAAAUGAAUAAUCAAAUGAUGGAUUUAACUAAUUUAUAAAGUUCAAACCCAAACUUCCCCUUGACUGCAAGAUUUGUCUUUUUUUCCUCUAUAAUUACCAAAAUACUUGACUCAGUUAUCCAGUUAAUUUUAUACAUGUAUUCGUGUGUCUAUGUAUCUUCAAAGUGUAGUUUUUAACUACCAUAGUUACACCAGGAAGCAUGUACAUGCUUUUUGCUUUUGAAUUUUUUCUUGCUUAGAUUUAUCCCAUCAUCUAUAGUUAAGCCUGUUUUAUAGAAAGUCUUUGACUUUCUUUAAAUUAUUUCAUUUAGUCUAAUUCCACCUCUUCCAGCUCCAUGCCACCACCCUUACCCCAACCUCAGUUUAGCACAUAUCCUGCUCUCACCUGUCACGCUUGUGUCAAUAUUAUCAUUUCAUUGGCAGCAUUCUCACUGCUGGAAGUCAAGCUCAGUUGUGAAGGGGAAUUUGUUUAGGCAUAACAAUGCCAAUAUGAAAAGAACUGAAAUAAAUUGCACGUCUCUCUUUAAUCCAUUGGAUCUUUUGCAGAUAAAAAAUUUUUACUUUAAAGUCUGCUUCAUUUUUCUCACUAAUGCCUCCAUCAACCCUUUUUUACAUUGAAGACUACCAUUUUCCCUUUCAUAAACAUUCUGAAACCUAUUAGCUACUCAGAUCCAAUGGCUUGCUCCCUUCAGUUGCAGAAGAUUGCCACAUUCCUUCACAAAAAGAGCCUGGAAAGUGCUAGCAGUGCCCUAUUUCUCUGAAGGGUCUCUAACUCUUACUCAAGUAAAGGAAACGAGAGCCAGUUGUUAAACAUUUACAAGCACACUACUGGACACAGCCAGCCUGAGACAACCUCUUGAUGUGGGAGCUAAGAAAAACUCACACACAGACCUCACUCUCAAGAUAGAAGGAGGACCCGACUCCCCCAGGAGUCUCUUGGUGUGUGCUACUCGAACCAUCAAGCAUGUCUCCAGUUUCUUCGUUUCUGUGCAGAAGCUCGGUGCUGAGGACGUAGGAGACCAGCAGUAGCAGAAGCCAUAGCUUGGAUGGAAUGAGGUGGCACAUGGAAUUGUACGCAAAUCCUGUGGGGAGGGACAUGUACCAGAUACAAGUCAAGACUGAGAAAGUAUUUAAAAAUUCUUGAAUGGCCAACUAUAGAGGUUACGACUGACUCUGGAAGCCAAGACUUUCCAGCUUUGAAUUCCAGCUCCACCACCUGCAACCUGGACUAGACUGAGCAACCUGGGGUCAGGACGGUGGAUCUCAGCUCUGUGGCCUUAGUGCCCAGCCCAGCGUCUGCUACAUAAUCUGUGUGCCAUAUAUGGUAAAGAAAUUAGUGAUGAUGAAAAAACCUGGUAAUCUUUACAAGACUUUUUGUGAACAGCUGUGCCAUAGCUGUAAGAAGCAAAC
RNAcentral lists this long non-coding RNA (2552 nucleotides) under Equus caballus (horse). RNAcentral describes it as "lncRNA (ENSECAG00000032008.3)". Lineage: Eukaryota; Metazoa; Chordata; Mammalia; Perissodactyla; Equidae. The record is from RNAcentral.